Tigriopus californicus is the source of this 442-nucleotide long non-coding RNA. RefSeq lists it as uncharacterized. NCBI's taxonomy places the organism in Eukaryota, Metazoa, Arthropoda, Copepoda, Harpacticoida, Harpacticidae. The transcript is spliced from 2 exons. The record is from RefSeq and is a predicted model, not a curated record.
AGUUGGCUUACUAACGAAUGAUAAUCGGCAGAUGGGGAAAAGCCCCUGAUUUGAUUAGUCCGUUCGUUUUCAUUUAAAAAGUGUCCAUAAAAGGAGCGAUUUCUGUUGACGAAUCCGAGAACGCCUCUCGAUACUCCUCGGAUAGUAACGAUCCUUUGAACAAAAGCCGAACGUGGAUUGUGGCUGGAAGGGAUCCAUGGACAUACUCGUUGAAAUGAGGCGAUCUACGGCUGGUUUGAAAGAGUGUCACCAGAACACGGUAUGGAGUUCCAGGCUCGAUAAAACGGCUGGCUUGCACAAGGUGCGUCCUAAAACAAGCGUGGGCCCAUUAAGUCCAUUCGCCAAUAUUCCAAAUCCAAUAAGCGGAUCAAGGAUAUCGGAAUAUGUACAUUUCUAUCUAAAUGCAUUUUAGCCUUGGGAUAAAAUUUAUAUUAAGCAUCGA